RNAcentral lists this ribosomal RNA (774 nucleotides) under uncultured Neocallimastigales. RNAcentral's name for it is "partial large subunit ribosomal RNA". It matches the Rfam family "Eukaryotic large subunit ribosomal RNA", at positions 22 to 645 of the family's 3401-position model. Lineage: Eukaryota; Fungi; Neocallimastigomycota; Neocallimastigomycetes; Neocallimastigales. The record is from RNAcentral.
GUACACGCUGUGACUAGCAUAUCAAUAAGCGGAGGAAAAGAAACUAACAAGGAUUCCCCUAGUAACGGCGAGUGAAGCGGGAAGAGCUCAAAUUUGAAAUCUUAAAGGGUUUCCCUUUACGAAUUGUAGUUUAAAGAAGUGUUUUCUGUUGAGGUUUUGGUAAAAGUUCUUUGGAAUAGGACAUAAUAGAGGGUGAGAAUCCCGUAUUUGACCUUUACUUUCAACUUUGUGAUACACUUUCAAAGAGUCGGAUUGUUUGGGAAUGCAGUCCAAAAUGGGUGGUAAAUUUCAUCUAAAGCUAAAUAUUGGCGAGAGACCGAUAGCGAACAAGUACCGUGAGGGAAAGAUGAAAAGAACUUUGAAAAGAGAGUUAAACAGUACGUGAAAUUGUCAAAAGGGAAGCGUUUGACACCAGUGUUGUUUUUCUGAAAAUCAAUUAAAGAACUGUUUAUGCUAAGCUGUUUAGACUUUAUCAGCUAAUCUGUUUAGUUUUGAGCUUUUCUUUAAUGCACUUUUCAGUUAACAAGUCAACAUCAAUUUCUUUUGCUGUAAAGAGCUUGAGGAAGGUGGCUUGAGAUUCGUCUUAAGUGUUUAUAGCCUCUUGCCUAUGCAGUCGGAGAGAUUGAGGUCUGCAGCGUAGAUCCUUCGGGGCUAAAUGCAUUUGUGCUAAGUUAUAGCAUUUUAUAGACAACUUGUUGACUAUGAUUUGUCUUGUAGCUUACUCGCUUAUGUUAUUUUACCUACGCUUAGGAUGUUGAAGUCAUCGUAUCGCGC